RNAcentral lists this ribosomal RNA (437 nucleotides) under uncultured anaerobic ammonium-oxidizing bacterium. RNAcentral describes it as "bacterial SSU rRNA". It matches the Rfam family "Bacterial small subunit ribosomal RNA", at positions 383 to 810 of the family's 1533-position model. The record is from RNAcentral.
GUGACGAAGCGACGCCGCGUGUGGGAAGAAGGCCUUCGGGUUGUAAACCACUGUCGGGAGUUAGGAAAUGUAAGGGUGCUAAUAGUAUCCCUACUUGACUAAGGCUCCGGAGGAAGCCACGGCUAACUCUGUGCCAGCAGCCGCGGUAAUACAGAGGCGGCAAGCGUUGUUCGGAAUUAUUGGGCGUAAAGAGCACGUAGGCGGCCUUGUAAGUCAGUUGUGAAAGCCUUCUGCUUAACGGAAGAACAGCAGCUGAUACUGCAAGGCUAGAGUGCGGAAGGGGAGAGUGGAACUUCUGGUGGAGCGGUGAAAUGCGUAGAUAUCAGAAGGAACACCGGCGGCGAAGGCGACUCUCUGGUCCGUAACUGACGCUGAGUGUGCGAAAGCUAGGGGAGCAAACGGGAUUAGAUACCCCGGUAGUCCUAGCCGUAAACGAU